RNAcentral lists this ribosomal RNA (173 nucleotides) under Aulacoseira subarctica. RNAcentral's name for it is "partial Trypanosomatid mitochondrial large subunit ribosomal RNA". The record is from RNAcentral. Lineage: Eukaryota; Bacillariophyta; Melosirophyceae; Melosirales; Aulacoseiraceae.
UCUAACAAAUCUAAAAAAUAAUCUGACUAAAAUAUAAUUUUAAUAAAAAUAAUGAUGAUUCAUUCAUCAGAUGGAUCCUGCUCAGUGCUGCUGUUCCCAGUCAACGGUACUACGUACGUAGUACUCUGUAGGUGCAAUAAUAUUCGUGUAGAGUUAGUAGUAGUACGGUUCUA